This 1818-nucleotide ribosomal RNA is filed under the name Triticum aestivum (bread wheat). RNAcentral's name for it is "partial small subunit ribosomal RNA". The record is from RNAcentral. Lineage: Eukaryota; Viridiplantae; Streptophyta; Magnoliopsida; Poales; Poaceae.
AUGGCGUCUCCGAGGGAGACAGUGGUGAGGCCGGCGAUGUCGCUGGGCAAGACGGGGACCGGGCGCCGGAGGCCGAGGUACCGCCUCGAGACGAGGGCUCUGUCCUACGUUCUUCCGGCCCGCGGCGUCGGAGUGUCGUCCUUCUUGCGGGGCGGCAAGGGCGAGCGGCUGCUGCUGAGGAGCGUCACAUGCGAGGCGGCCCCCGGGGAGGUGGUGGCGAUCGUGGGGCCGAGCGGGGCGGGCAAGACCACGCUGCUGUCGGUGCUGGCGGGGUCGGCGGACCCGGCCAGGGUGCUCACCGGGGCGGUGCUGGUGAACGGCUGCCCCAUGGACGCCGCACGCUUCCGCCGGGUGUCCGGCCACGUGCCGCAGGACGACGCGCUCUUCCCGAUGCUCACCGUCGAGGAGUCGCUGCUGUACAGCGCGCGCCUGCGGCUGCGCGCCGCGCCGGGCGCCGCGCAGGCGCGGGCCAGGGAGCUCAUGGCCGAGCUCGGGCUGCGCCACGUCGCGCACUCGAGGGUCGCCAGCGUGUCCGGGGGCGAGCGGAGGAGGGUGUCCAUCGGUGUUGACCUCGUGCACGAUCCGGCCGUGUUGCUGCUGGACGAGCCCACGUCCGGGCUCGACUCCGGCUCCGCGCUGCACAUUGUCAAGAUGCUCAGGGACAUGGCCACCGCGCACGGCAAGACCGUCGUGCUCACCAUCCAUCAGCCCGGCUUCCGCAUCCUCGAGCUGCUCGACCGCGUCGUCCUCCUCGCCGACGGCGCCGUCCGGCACCACGGCUCCCUGCCGUUCCUCGAGGCCCGCCUCGCCGGCUCCGGCCACUCCAUCCCCGCCCACGUCAACGUCCUCGAGUACGCCAUGGAGACCAUCGAUACCCUCAAGCCGGACGUCGUCAUCGCCACCGCGCUCACAUACCAAGAUGUUGCCGCGCCGGUGCCCUCGCCGUCCUCCUCGUCCGCGCGCCGCGCCGCGUACGCCAACUCGGCAGCGGCGGAGGUUUGCAUCCUGUCGGGGCGCUUCGUGAAGACGGUGCUGCGGACGCCGCAGCUGUUCGCGGCGCGAAUGGUGCAGUCGGCGGUGGUCGGCGUGUUCCUCGGCACAAUCUUCCUGGGCACCACCGACCUGCAGUCCCGGCUGGGCUUCUUCGCCUUCAACCUCACCUUCGUGCUCUCCUCCACCACCGAGGGCCUCCCGGUGUUCCUCCAGGAGCGCCGCAUCCUGGAAAGGGAGACCACCCGGGGCGCGUACCGCGUCUCCUCCUACGUCGCCUCCAACGCCGCCGUGUUCCUCCCUUUCCUCCUCGCCGCGGCGCUCCUCUACGCGACGCCCGUGUACUGGCUCGUCGGCCUGGCGCGCGAGCCAGCCAGCUUCGCCUACUUCGCGCUCGUCAUCUGGCUCGUCAUGCUCACCGCCAACUCAUUCACCGCCUGCCUCAGCGCGCUGGCGCCCAACUACAUCGUCGGCAACUCCCUCAUCGCCGGAUUCAUCGGCUGCUUCUUCCUCUUCUCCGGCUACUUCGUGGCGAGCAAGGACAUCCCGCAGUACUGGGUGUUCAUGCACUACAUCAGCCUGUUCAAGUACCCCUUCGAGGCCCUCAUCGUGAACGAGUACGGCGGCGCGCGCGGCGGCCAGGAGUGCCUCGCCUCGGCCCCCGGCGGCGGCAUGUGCGUCCUCGACGGCACCAUGCUGCUGCGGCAGCAGGGGAUGCGGGAGAGCAUGAGGUGGAGCAACCUGGGAGUCAUGCUCGGGUUCGUGGUCGGCUACAGGGUGCUCUGCUUCGUGUUCCUGUGGUACAGGUGCCACCGCAUGAGGAGGUGA